AGAGUUUGAUCCUGGCUCAGGACGAACGCUGGCGGCGCGCCUAACACAUGCAAGUCGAACGAAGCUAUGUUGAAAGCUUGCUGGAUAUAUAGCUUAGUGGCGGACGGGUGAGUAACACGUGAGCAACCUGCCUCUCAGAGUGGAAUAACGUUUGGAAACGGACGCUAAUACCGCAUAACGUGAGAAGAGGGCAUCCUCUUUUUACCAAAGAUUUAUCGCUGAGAGAUGGGCUCGCGGCCGAUUAGGUAGUUGGUGAGAUAACAGCCCACCAAGCCGACGAUCGGUAGCCGGACUGAGAGGUUGAUCGGCCACAUUGGGACUGAGACACGGCCCAGACUCCUACGGGAGGCAGCAGUGGGGGAUAUUGCACAAUGGGGGAAACCCUGAUGCAGCGACGCCGCGUGAGGGAAGACGGUUUUCGGAUUGUAAACCUCUGUCUUUAGGGACGAAUAAAUGACGGUACCUGAGUAAGAAGCCCCGGCUAACUACGUGCCAGCAGCCGCGGUAAGAUGACGUGU
RNAcentral lists this ribosomal RNA (518 nucleotides) under uncultured bacterium. RNAcentral's name for it is "bacterial SSU rRNA". It matches the Rfam family "Bacterial small subunit ribosomal RNA", at positions 8 to 533 of the family's 1533-position model. The record is from RNAcentral.